UUUUUUUUUUUUUUUUUGAUAAUCAUGAUGUCGGGACCAGCUCGACUACUUCCACAAGAUACUUGUCUCUCGAAAUUUUCUCAGCUAUUGCAAGUUCUGACCACAAGAAUUGUCCACAAUAUACUAACUAUAGGAUAUCAAUAUUAGAACCUCAACUUCUGAUGACUUUAACACUCUACCAUCACAUCCAAAAAAAAAAAAAAAAGGA
Molecule: unclassified non-coding RNA, 208 nt
Filed under: Hevea brasiliensis (rubber tree)
Lineage: Eukaryota; Viridiplantae; Streptophyta; Magnoliopsida; Malpighiales; Euphorbiaceae
Source: RNAcentral